Portunus trituberculatus (swimming crab) is the source of this 893-nucleotide long non-coding RNA. RefSeq lists it as uncharacterized. NCBI's taxonomy places the organism in Eukaryota, Metazoa, Arthropoda, Malacostraca, Decapoda, Portunidae. The record is from RefSeq and is a predicted model, not a curated record. The transcript is spliced from 4 exons.
GGAUGAAGAAGAAAUGAGAAAUAAAGGUGGAAUAGGAGAAGAAGCCAAGGUGUAAUAUUUAGGUGACGACAGGCAGAAUGAGGUGGGCGUAGCGAAGGCUGUGGGUGGUCAAUUCACAACGCAGAUUACCUACACCUUGCACCACACUGACUGCCCGCAGCUGUUCAUUAAAGUCUGGCAAGCCUGUAUCUCCGUGUUCUGCCCUGGAUAUAGGAGUAAAAUGUCACUCUACGGUCUGUCUUCUUAAACUUGUCAUUCCUUCACCUCUUCAUUUAGCAGCAGCCUAAAGAAACGUUGACGAGUGCGUGGAGUCGCCCAGAUCCUCUCCCUGUGGACCAUCCCUUCAGUAGUGUUCGAUCCGCCCAGCAGCAGCAACGGUCAUGAGAAGGCGGUCAUUGAAGUGUCAAGUCCCCAAGCUGGCAUGGUGGUGGGUGUUGUGCUGGGCUCCCUUGUGGUUCUUUGCCUAGCUGUUGGGGUAAGUCAAAUAGUUUUUCACUUCUUUAUACUGUGUUGUCUUGCUCUGGAUGUGUUGUGGCUGUGCUGUGGCAAAGAUGGCGUAAUUAAGCAGUGGGUGAGAUUCUACCAAACUUUAAACAAUUCUAAAUUGUUCUUGACACACUGAGAAUAUUCCAUUACUGUAAAGUUAGCCGACUCAUACUUUAUACAUUUUUUUUUUUUCAUCUCACCUGCAACAUUUUAAGUGUACAGAUGUUUGUCGGGUUCCUGAAGAUGCGUCGACGUGUUAUCAUCCACGCAAGCUACCCCAACCCAGCCGGUGUACCACAAGACAACAGGCAUUGAGGAGGACGGGAGGAGGGAGCGAGCGGCUGCAUGCACUAUUGAACGGGACGGCAUUACAUUCUUCCCACAGUUGUAUGACUACACUGAAGCAA